UGUUGAGAUUCAGUUUUAUUUAUGCUACUAGCUAAGUAAAAAGCAUACAUAUUGUGUCUGUGGUACAGUCAAUACAUUUGCAACUUUUCUACUUAAAUUCUCUAUACAAAGUCACUGCCAAUUGAUAUGAUCAUUGAUGGCAAAGGGCUUAGAAUAACCAAAAGGUAUAAAAAAGUUUGCAGUCUUGCCCCAAGAUACAAAAACUGAAUUUUAAACAUUGGCAUAACAUACAUGAUUUAAACAGUAUACGAAAAAAAAAAAGUCACACAUCAAAUCAAGUACAAAAAUAUCCAAACUACCUAUCA
This 305-nucleotide long non-coding RNA is filed under the name Bos taurus (domestic cattle). RNAcentral's name for it is "long non-coding RNA NONBTAT015249". Lineage: Eukaryota; Metazoa; Chordata; Mammalia; Artiodactyla; Bovidae. The record is from RNAcentral.